This 92-nucleotide ribosomal RNA is filed under the name Castor canadensis (American beaver). The record is from RNAcentral. Lineage: Eukaryota; Metazoa; Chordata; Mammalia; Rodentia; Castoridae.
GUCUACGGCCACACCACCCUGAAUGCACCCAAUCUCUUCUGAUCUCAGAAGCUAAGCAGGGUCGGGCCUGGUUAGUACUUGGAUGGGAGAAU